CCACCCAAAAUGGCGGCUCCAAUCCCCGCCCACCCCCUGUAACCCCAUUGGCUGAGCCGCCCGUCAAUCACCACGGCCCCGCCCCUUCCCCGCGCUCUGAUUGGUUCGCGCCGUUUUCCCCAAAAACGACCAAAACCCGAAUUUUUCACCUUCCGGCGCCAUUUUGGGCGGGGGGCGGGGCUUAACAGAGGGAAGGCCACGCCCCUUUCUGCCGCUCGGAGCGCUGAUUGGUCGGAUUGUGGAGCCACGCCCACGCAAAGCCCCGCCCCCUUCGGCCCCCGACGGGGGCGGGAUUUGGGAAUUCCUGAGGGAAUUUGGGGAAUUCUGGAGGAAUUUUGGGAUCCUGGGGGGAAUUUUGGGAAAAUUUUGGGAAUUCUGGAGGGAAUGUUGGGAAUUCUGGAGGAAUUUUGGGAAAAUUUUGGGAAUUCCUGAGGGAAUUUUGGGAAUUCUGAGGGAAUUUUGGGAAUUCUGGAAGAGUUUUGGGAUCCUGGGAGGAAUUUUGGGAAAAUUUUGGGAAUUCCUGAGGGAAUUUUGGAAUCUUGGGGGGAAUUUUGGGAUCCUGGAAGGAUCCUGGGAGGAACUCUGGGAUCAU
Molecule: long non-coding RNA, 592 nt
Filed under: Chloebia gouldiae (Gouldian finch)
Lineage: Eukaryota; Metazoa; Chordata; Aves; Passeriformes; Passeridae
Description: Erythrura gouldiae (Gouldian finch) lncRNA (ENSEGOG00005010761.1)
Source: RNAcentral